UACAGAGGUCUCAAGCGUUGUUCGGAUUCAUUGGGCGUAAAGGGUGCGUAGGUGGCGCGGUAAGUCGGGUGUGAAAUCUUGGAGCUUAACUCCGAAACUGCAUUCGAUACUGCCGUACUUGAGGACUGGAGAGGAGACUGGAAUUUACGGUGUAGCGGUGAAAUGCGUAGAUAUCGUAAGGAAGACCAGUGGCGAAGGCGGGUCUCUGGACAGUUCCUGACGCUGAGGCACGAAGGCCAGGGGAGCAAACGGG
This 253-nucleotide ribosomal RNA is filed under the name uncultured bacterium. Its description in RNAcentral is "partial 16S ribosomal RNA". It matches the Rfam family "Bacterial small subunit ribosomal RNA", at positions 524 to 776 of the family's 1533-position model. The record is from RNAcentral.